AAUGGGCGCAAGCCUGAUCCAGCCAUGCCGCGUGUGUGACGAAGGCCCUAGGGUUGUAAAACACUUUCAGUGGGGAAGAUAAUGACGGUACCCACAGAAGAAGCUCCGGCUAACUCCGUGCCAGCAGCCGCGGUAAUACGGAGGGAGCUAGCGUUGUUCGGAAUUACUGGGCGUAAAGCGCACGUAGGCGGAUUUGUUAGUCAGAGGUGAAAUCCCGGGGCUCAACCUCGGAACUGCCUUUGAUACUGCAAGUCUAGAGACCGAGAGAGGUGAGUGGAAUUUCCAGUGUAGAGGUGAAAUUCGUAGAUAUUGGAAAGAACACCAGUGGCGAAGGCGGCUCACUGGCUCGGUACUGACGCUGAGGUGCGAAAGCGUGGGGAGCGAAGAGGAUU
Molecule: ribosomal RNA, 392 nt
Filed under: uncultured Gammaproteobacteria bacterium
Lineage: Bacteria; Pseudomonadati; Pseudomonadota; Gammaproteobacteria
Description: bacterial SSU rRNA
Rfam family: Bacterial small subunit ribosomal RNA
Source: RNAcentral